RNAcentral lists this ribosomal RNA (253 nucleotides) under uncultured bacterium. RNAcentral's name for it is "partial 16S ribosomal RNA". It matches the Rfam family "Bacterial small subunit ribosomal RNA", at positions 524 to 776 of the family's 1533-position model. The record is from RNAcentral.
UACGUAGGUGGCAAGCGUUGUCCGGAUUUAUUGGGUGUAAAGGGUGCGUAGGCGGUUCACUAAGUCAGCAGUGAAAUACGGCAGCUUAACUGUCGAGGUGCGGAUGAUACUGGUGGACUUGAGUACUGAUGAGGUAGGCGGAAUGGACGGUGUAGCGGUGAAAUGCUUAGAGAUCGUCCAGAACACCGGUAGCGAAGGCAGCUUACUAAGGAGUAACUGACGCUGAUGCACGAAAGUGUGGGGAUCAAACAGG